AGCAGCCGCGGUAAUUCCAGCUCCAAUAGCGUAUAUUAAAGUUGUUGCAGUUAAAAGCUCGUAGUUGAAUUUCGGGAUCAAAGGAUCGGUCAUGCCUUGGUAUGUACUGGUUUUAUUGGUUCUCACCUUCUAAAGAACCAUAAUGUCAUUCAUUUGAUGUUAUGGGGAAUUAGGACUGUUACCUUGAAAAAAUUAGAGUGUUUAAAGCAGGCUUACGCUUGAAUACAUUAGCAUGGAAUAAUGAAAUAGGACAUCAGAUUCUAUCUUGUUGGUUUCUAGGAUCGAUGUAAUGAUUAAUAGGGAUAGUUGGGGGCAUUAGUAUUCAAUUGUCAGAGGUGAAAUUCUUGGAUUUAUUGAAGACUAACUACUGCGAAAGCAUUUGCCAAGGAUGUUUUCAUUAAUCAAGAACGAAAGUUAGGGGAUCGAAGACGAUCAGAUACCGUCGUAGUCUUAACCAUAAACUAUGCCGACUAGGGAUCGGAUGAUGUUAAUUUUUUAAUGACUCAUUCGGCGCCUUACG
Molecule: unclassified non-coding RNA, 520 nt
Filed under: uncultured Glomus
Lineage: Eukaryota; Fungi; Glomeromycota; Glomeromycetes; Glomerales; Glomeraceae
Description: SSU rRNA
Rfam family: Eukaryotic small subunit ribosomal RNA
Source: RNAcentral